RNAcentral lists this unclassified non-coding RNA (376 nucleotides) under uncultured Gammaproteobacteria bacterium. RNAcentral's name for it is "contains 16S-23S intergenic spacer region". The record is from RNAcentral. Lineage: Bacteria; Pseudomonadati; Pseudomonadota; Gammaproteobacteria.
UCCGGUUUGUCACCGGCAGUCUCCCUAGAGUGCCCAACUAAAUGUAGCAACUAAGGACAAGGGUUGCGCUCGUUGCGGGACUUAACCCAACAUCUCACGACACGAGCUGACGACAGCCAUGCAGCACCUGUGUUCCGGUUCCCUUUCAGGCACAACCCCCUCUCAGGGGCCUUCCAGACAUGUCAAGGGUAGGUAAGGUUGUUCGCGUUGCAUCGAAUUAAUCCACAUCAUCCACCGCUUGUGCGGGUCCCCGUCAAUUCCUUUGAGUUUUAACCUUGCGGCCGUACUCCCCAGGCGGCUCACUUCACGCGUUAGCUUCGGUACCAAGGAAUCGCUUCCCCAACACCUAGUGAGCAUCGUUUAGGGCGUGGACUAC